CGCGGCCUAUCAGCUUGUUGGUGGGGUAGUGGCUUACCAAGGCUUUGACGGGUAGCCGGCCUGAGAGGGUGACCGGCCACAUUGGGACUGAGAUGCGGCCCAGACUCCUACGGGAGGCAGCAGUGGGGAAUAUUGCACAAUGGGCGGAAGCCUGAUGCAGCAACGCCGCGUGCGGGAUGACGGCCUUCGGGUUGUAAACCGCUUUCGCCUGUGACGAAGCGUGAGUGACGGUAAUGGGUAAAGAAGCACCGGCUAACUACGUGCCAGCAACCGCGGUGAUACGUAGGGUGCGAGCGUUGUCCGGAUUUAUUGGGCGUAAAGGGCUCGUAGGUGGUUGAUCGCGUCGGAAGUGUAAUCUUGGGGCUUAACCCUGAGCGUGCUUUCGAUACGGGUUGACUUGAGGAAGGUAGGGGAGAAUGGAAUUCCUGGUGGAGCGGUGGAAUGUGCAGAUAUCAGGAGGAACACCAGUGGCGAAGGCGGUUCUCUGGGCCUUUCCUGACGCUGAGGAGCGAAAGCGUGGGGAGCGAACAGGCUUAGAUACCCUGGUAGUCCACGCUGUAAACGGUGGGUACUAGGUGUGGGGUCCAUUCCACGGGUUCCGUGCCGUAGCUAACGCUUUAAGUACCCCGCCUGGGGAGUACGG
RNAcentral lists this ribosomal RNA (643 nucleotides) under uncultured bacterium. RNAcentral describes it as "bacterial SSU rRNA". It matches the Rfam family "Bacterial small subunit ribosomal RNA", at positions 232 to 885 of the family's 1533-position model. The record is from RNAcentral.